AGUGAACGCUGGCGGCAGGCCUAACACAUGCAAGUCGAGCGAACACACAGUAAGAUUUCUCCUUUAAGGGUGGCGAGGGGCGGACGGGUGACGCAUGCAUAGGCAUCUUAUUUUUCGUGGGGGACUUCGUGGGACCACUUCUAAUACCGCCUAAUAUAUUCUACGGCAUGAUGCAGUAGUUAUUGGCGGUUUUCGUGUUACUUUGAGAUGAAUCCGCGCCGCAUUAGCUAGUUGGUAAGGUAACGGCUUACCAAGGCGACGAUGCGUAGCCGACCUGAGAGGGUGAUCGGCCACACUGGAACUGAGACACGGUCCAGACUCCUACGGGAGGCAGCAGUAGGGAAUAUUCCGCAAUGGGCGCAAGCCUGACGGAGCCACGCCGCGUGAGUGAUGAAGGUCUUCGGAUUGUAAAGCUCUGUUAUUAGGGAAGAAAAACAGUGUAAGUAACUCCGCCCGUCCUGACGGUACCUAAUCAGAAAGCACCGGCUAACUACGUG
RNAcentral lists this ribosomal RNA (497 nucleotides) under uncultured bacterium. RNAcentral describes it as "partial 16S ribosomal RNA". It matches the Rfam family "Bacterial small subunit ribosomal RNA", at positions 29 to 507 of the family's 1533-position model. The record is from RNAcentral.